GGGGGGUAGCAAUACCAACCGGCGAACGGGUGCGGAACACGUGAGCAAUCUGCCGAUUACUGGGGGAUAGCCGGCCCAACGGCCGGGUAAUACCGCAUACGCUCAUUGGGGGACAUCCCCCGAUGAGGAAACCUCCGGGGGUAAUCGAGGAGCUCGCGUCUUAUCAGCUAGUUGGCGGGGUAACGGCCCACCAAGGCUACGACGGGUAGCUGGUCUGAGAGGAUGGCCAGCCACAUUGGGACUGCGACACGGCCCAGACUCCUACGGGAGGCAGCAGUGGGGAAUAUUGCGCAAUGGACGAAAGUCUGACGCAGCGACGCCGCGUGUGGGAUGAAGCUCUUCGGGGUGUAAACCACUGUUGCCCGGGACGAACUUCUGGCAUUAGCCAGAUUGACGGUACCGGGUGAGGAAGCACCGGCUAACUCUGUGCCAGCAGCCGCGGUAAUACAGAGGGUGCGAGCGUUGUCCGGAAUCACUGGGCGUAAAGGGCGCGUAGGUGGCUUGUUAAGCGUGUGGUGAAAGCCUGGGGCUCAACCCCAGGUCUGCCGUGCGUACUGGCAAGCUUGAGAUUAGUAGAGGCGGGUGGAAUUUCGGGUGUAGCGGUGGAAUGCGUAGAUAUCCGAAAGAACACCGGUGGCGAAGGCGGCCCGCUGGGCUAUUUCUGACACUGAGGCGCGACAGCGUGGGGAGCAAACAGGAUUAGAUACCCUGGUAGUCCACGCCGUAAACGAUGGGUACUAGGCGUCUGGGGGAGCGACCC
RNAcentral lists this ribosomal RNA (760 nucleotides) under uncultured Gemmatimonadota bacterium. RNAcentral's name for it is "bacterial SSU rRNA". It matches the Rfam family "Bacterial small subunit ribosomal RNA", at positions 66 to 838 of the family's 1533-position model. The record is from RNAcentral. Lineage: Bacteria; Pseudomonadati; Gemmatimonadota.